Long non-coding RNA from Chroicocephalus ridibundus (black-headed gull), 453 nucleotides. RefSeq lists it as uncharacterized. Lineage: Eukaryota; Metazoa; Chordata; Aves; Charadriiformes; Laridae. The record is from RefSeq and is a predicted model, not a curated record. The transcript has 4 exons.
CGCCCGGCGCCGUCCCCAUCGAGUCCGCCCGGAAACCUCUGGAGUGCUCUUCCAUUUGUAAAGCUGAGCACCACACCGAGGAAGAAGAUGGAUGCUGUAAUCGCAAGAAUCCAGAAACAUUUUCACUGAAAUACUCUCCUGUCAUCUUUAAAUCAUUUGAGGAAAAAAAGUGGGUAGGAAAUGGAUCGUUUCCUGUACAUGGACCAAAAAAAUAACCAGGAUACACCUACAGCAAACACAAACUGCUUGCAGGUAUUUCCAUAGGACUAAAGGCUACGUGGAAGAGAACAAGUACAAGACUAGAAACUAUGAUAAAAGCCAGCAAACCAGCCAUGAAGCUAUCAAGCAGUUUUGGACAUGACUCCUCUUACCUAAGCAGCCUGAAAUACUUCGGAAUCAAGGUGGUGCUUCUCUGGAGUUCAAAGGAGAAAUUGCGGCUUCAGGAGAACACCU